RNAcentral lists this long non-coding RNA (2196 nucleotides) under Homo sapiens (human). RNAcentral describes it as "HSALNT0209723". Lineage: Eukaryota; Metazoa; Chordata; Mammalia; Primates; Hominidae. The record is from RNAcentral.
CUGUUCCUAUUCAGCCAUCUUGCCAGCAGGUAUUUCUUUAUAGCAACACAAGAACAGCCUAAUACAAUUUCCAGUAUCAACGGGCUGUUACAAGUUCCCCCUACCCCUUCCCAGUGGGAUGGAGACAGUGGAGUGUCUAAACUUUCAACAUCGUCCAGAAGUAAAGAGGCCACUCGCUCCCUCUUCCCUCUGGUGUCAAUGGAGGCCAUGUGGAGAACAGUAAUGAGACACUCCUAUUCUUUCCAACUAGGAUGGGAUCAGCAGAGGCCUAGUGGGGAGCCAAAACUCCUAGUCCCACCAUGCAGUAACAAGGAGGCCCCCAUCCCUGGUGCCAGUAAAGGCUGAGUGGGAACCUAGACUUCUACCUCCAGUUGGUAGUAACAGGGGAAGUGCCUCCCUGCGCUGCCUCUUUUAGAGCAGUGUCAGAGAAAGCCAGCUAAAACAGAAAGUCAAAGUAAUAUCCAGACUCUCAUAAUAUCCAAAAUGUCCAGGUUUUAAUAGAAAAUCACUCAUUAUGCCAAGAUCCAGAAACAUCUCAAUUUGAAAGAAAAAAAAGACAAUUAAUAGAUGCCAAAGUCAAGAUGACAGAGAUGUUGGAAUUAUCUAACAAAGAUUUUACAGCAGUUCCUCUACCAAAGUACCUCAGUGAGCAAUUAUGAAUGUACUUGAAACAAACAGAAAAGUAGAAAUUCUUAGCAGAAAAGUAGAAAGUCUCAGUAAAGAAAAAAAAAUCAAAGAAGAACCAAAGGAAAUUUUUAGUACUGGAAAAUAUAAUAACUGAAAUAAAAACUCAGCAAAUGGGUUCAUUAGCUGAUUGGAGAAGACAGAGAAAAGAAUCAGUGAACUUGGAGAACAAUACAAUAUACUUGAGCUGAAAACAGAGACAGUAGACUGAGGGAAAAAAAAUGACAGAGCCUUACGGACCUGUGGGACUAAAACAAAAGACAUAACUUGGUGUCAUCAUAGUCCUGGAAGAAGGGGAAAAAGAGGGCAGGACUGAAAAAGUACAAAAAGAAAUAAUGGCUAGAAACUUCCCAAAUGUGGCAAGAGACAUAAACCUACAUAUAUUCAAGAAGAUGCUGAGUGAACUCCAAACCAAAGAAAUCCACACUAAAAUCCAUAAUAGUAACACUUCUGAAAACUAAAGUCAAAGAAACAAAAAUUUAAAGCAGUGAGAGAGAAACAAUAUGUUAACCAAUAUGAGAAAAUAAUUUGAGAGUAGAUUUCUCAUUGAAAACUAUUAUCGUCAGAAGGCAUUGACACAGCAUUUUGAAAUGCUGAAAGAAAAGAACUACCAGAAUUCUAUUUCCAGUGAAAUAAUUUCCUAAGAAUGAAGGGGAAAUCAACACAUUCUCAGAUGAAGUAAAGUAGGACUUUUUUUUUCCAGCAGUUCUACCCUAGAAGGAUGAGUAAAGGAAGUUCUCUAAACAGAAAAGAUUAGAAAAAAGAAUUCUUGGAGCACUAGGAAGAAAGAACAUAAUAAACAAAACUAUGGCUACAUACAAUAGAUUUUCCUUCUCCUCUUGCGUUUUCUAGAUUGUGUUUGAUGAUUGAUGCUAGAAUUAUAACACUGUCUGAUGUGGCUCUAAAUGCUGGUAGAGGAAAUAUUUAAGAAAAUUACAGAUAGAGGAGUUAAAGUGGAUAUAAAGGGAGGUAAGGUUUUCAUGUGUAACUCUAAUUGGAACAAUUUCCAUUCUAGGAGACCGUGCUAAUGGUACUGGUAUCAUGUACUAUCUACAGAAAUGACUAAAAAAGGUAUACAAAGCGAUUCACUCAAAAAACAGUAUAGACACAUCAAAAUAGAAUUCUAAAAAAUGUUGUUACCCAUAGGAAGGCAGGUACAAACAGAAAGAACAAAAAGAAAACAAAAAAAUAAAGUGGCAGACUUAAAUCCUAAGAUAUCAGUAACUGUAAGUGGUCUAAAUGUACCAACUGAAAGGCAGAGAUUGGCAGGUGGUUUAAAAAUAUGACUCAAUGAUAUAUUGUCUACGAGAAAUGUUUUUCCAAUAUGAUGAUAUUGGUAGGUUGAAAGUAAAGUAUGAAAAAUAUAUAUCAUGCAUAUAUUAGUUGGGAGGAACCAGGAGUGGCUAUAUCAAUACCAGAUAAGGUAGACUUCAGAGCAAAGAAAAUUACCAGAGAUGGCUGGGUGCGGUGGCUCACGCCUGUAAUCCCAGCACUUUGGGAGGCUGAGGCGGG